AGAGUUUGAUCAUGGCUCAGGAUGAACGCUAGCUACAGGCUUAACACAUGCAAGGUCGAGGGGAAACGACAUCGAAAGCUUGCUUUUGAUGGGCGUCGACCGGCGCACGGGUGAGUAACGCGUAUCCAACCUGCCCAUCACUUGGGGAUAACCUUGCGAAAGUAAGACUAAUACCCAAUGACGUCUCUAGAAGACAUCUGAAAAGAGAUUAAAAGAUUUAUCGGUGAUGGAUGGGGAUGCGUCUGAUUAGCUUGUUGGCGGGGUAACGCCACCAAGGCGACGAUCAGUAGGGUUCUGAGAGGAAGGUCCCCACAUUGGAACUGAGACACGGUCCAAACUCCUACGGGAGCA
RNAcentral lists this ribosomal RNA (351 nucleotides) under uncultured bacterium. RNAcentral describes it as "bacterial SSU rRNA". It matches the Rfam family "Bacterial small subunit ribosomal RNA", at positions 8 to 349 of the family's 1533-position model. The record is from RNAcentral.